RNAcentral lists this long non-coding RNA (801 nucleotides) under Homo sapiens (human). RNAcentral's name for it is "HSALNT0059712". Lineage: Eukaryota; Metazoa; Chordata; Mammalia; Primates; Hominidae. The record is from RNAcentral.
ACUUCCCAUCAGCCCUUGAGGCUGCAGGGACCAGCCCUUUGGUAGGUGCGCUUUGCUUCCUAACCCGUUGCCGGGUUGGAGAUUCCACCUCCGAAGUUUUCUUUCUGACUUUUGAUUUUACAUUCCUAGUACAGUGGAGAAGCCCAGGCGGCCUAGAAUCCAGUGUCGUCCGUGAGUGCUUGGCUGGUGUUCAAGUGCAUCUUCCAGCCUGAGACCGCGUGGACUCGCUCAUCGUGAGGGCGAGAGGAGGAUAAGCCCAUUGGGCUGUCGGCUGAGAGUGAGGUGCGGGAUUGCUGAUGAAAUCCUUGGCAUCGUCGGAGAUCUCAUCGAAUGCCUCGUCGUCGAAGUCCCAGGUGGCUGAGGUAACGUUGGCCAAGGUUUCGUUAUCGUUGUCUCCCAUGAAGGGGGAAAGGCCACUGACUCUGGAGAGACAAGAGCAGGACAGCAGGUGUGGCUAGGAGAGGGCGCGACGACCAGAUGAGGGAAUUGAGGCACAGCCCAGGCUCAAGUCACCUGCCCAAAGAUUCACAGCCAGUGAGAUUGGAAGCCAGGUAUCUGCCUCUAGAGCCUGUCCUCUUAAAUGCUAUACUAUCCUAACAUUUCUGUAAAGAUGAAGUAAAUUGCAGUGUUCAGCACUGGCACCAGGCCUGGUCCACAGUAAGGAGGCGGUCCAUGCCCGGAGAUCUCAUGCAGUUCUGCUGGGUUCCCUCCACUGCCUUACCAAGCUGUGAGUGCAGGAAUGACUUUGUGACCAGCAGCUUAAGCCAAAUAAACUUUAUAAGGUAAAGAAUUUCAAAACAA